This 2902-nucleotide ribosomal RNA is filed under the name Klebsiella pneumoniae. Its description in RNAcentral is "23S ribosomal RNA". It matches the Rfam family "Bacterial large subunit ribosomal RNA". Lineage: Bacteria; Pseudomonadati; Pseudomonadota; Gammaproteobacteria; Enterobacterales; Enterobacteriaceae. The record is from RNAcentral.
GGUUAAGCGACUAAGCGUACACGGUGGAUGCCCUGGCAGUCAGAGGCGAUGAAGGACGUGCUAAUCUGCGAAAAGCGUCGGUAAGGUGAUAUGAACCGUUACAGCCGGCGAUGUCCGAAUGGGGAAACCCAGUGUGAUUCGUCACACUAUCGUUAACUGAAUACAUAGGUUAACGAGGCGAACCGGGGGAACUGAAACAUCUAAGUACCCCGAGGAAAAGAAAUCAACCGAGAUUCCCCCAGUAGCGGCGAGCGAACGGGGAGCAGCCCAGAGUCUGAAUCAGCUUGUGUGUUAGUGGAACGGUCUGGAAAGUCCGACGGUACAGGGUGAUAGUCCCGUACACCAAAAUGCACAGGCUGUGAACUCGAAGAGUAGGGCGGGACACGUGGUAUCCUGUCUGAAUAUGGGGGGACCAUCCUCCAAGGCUAAAUACUCCUGACUGACCGAUAGUGAACCAGUACCGUGAGGGAAAGGCGAAAAGAACCCCGGCGAGGGGAGUGAAAAAGAACCUGAAACCGUGUACGUACAAGCAGUGGGAGCACCUUCGGGUGUGACUGCGUACCUUUUGUAUAAUGGGUCAGCGACUUAUAUUCUGUAGCAAGGUUAACCGUAUAGGGGAGCCGCAGGGAAACCGAGUCUUAACUGGGCGUUAAGUUGCAGGGUAUAGACCCGAAACCCGGUGAUCUAGCCAUGGGCAGGUUGAAGGUUGGGUAACACUAACUGGAGGACCGAACCGACUAAUGUUGAAAAAUUAGCGGAUGACUUGUGGCUGGGGGUGAAAGGCCAAUCAAACCGGGAGAUAGCUGGUUCUCCCCGAAAGCUAUUUAGGUAGCGCCUCGUGAACUCAUCUUCGGGGGUAGAGCACUGUUUCGGCUAGGGGGUCAUCCCGACUUACCAACCCGAUGCAAACUACGAAUACCGAAGAAUGUUAUCACGGGAGACACACGGCGGGUGCUAACGUCCGUCGUGAAGAGGGAAACAACCCAGACCGCCAGCUAAGGUCCCAAAGUCAUGGUUAAGUGGGAAACGAUGUGGGAAGGCACAGACAGCCAGGAUGUUGGCUUAGAAGCAGCCAUCAUUUAAAGAAAGCGUAAUAGCUCACUGGUCGAGUCGGCCUGCGCGGAAGAUGUAACGGGGCUAAACCAUGCACCGAAGCUGCGGCAGCGACACUAUGUGUUGUUGGGUAGGGGAGCGUUCUGUAAGCCUGCGAAGGUGUGCUGUGAGGCAUGCUGGAGGUAUCAGAAGUGCGAAUGCUGACAUAAGUAACGAUAAAGCGGGUGAAAAGCCCGCUCGCCGGAAGACCAAGGGUUCCUGUCCAACGUUAAUCGGGGCAGGGUGAGUCGACCCCUAAGGCGAGGCCGAAAGGCGUAGUCGAUGGGAAACAGGUUAAUAUUCCUGUACUUGGUGUUACUGCGAAGGGGGGACGGAGAAGGCUAUGUUAGCCGGGCGACGGUUGUCCCGGUUUAAGCAUGUAGGCUGGUUAUCCAGGCAAAUCCGGAUAAUCAAGGCUGAGGUGUGAUGACGAGGCACUACGGUGCUGAAGUAACAAAUGCCCUGCUUCCAGGAAAAGCCUCUAAGCAUCAGGUAACAUCAAAUCGUACCCCAAACCGACACAGGUGGUCAGGUAGAGAAUACCAAGGCGCUUGAGAGAACUCGGGUGAAGGAACUAGGCAAAAUGGUGCCGUAACUUCGGGAGAAGGCACGCUGGUGUGUAGGUGAAGUCCCUGCGGAUGGAGCUGAGACCAGUCGAAGAUACCAGCUGGCUGCAACUGUUUAUUAAAAACACAGCACUGUGCAAACACGAAAGUGGACGUAUACGGUGUGACGCCUGCCCGGUGCCGGAAGGUUAAUUGAUGGGGUUAUCCGUAAGGAGAAGCUCUUGAUCGAAGCCCCGGUAAACGGCGGCCGUAACUAUAACGGUCCUAAGGUAGCGAAAUUCCUUGUCGGGUAAGUUCCGACCUGCACGAAUGGCGUAAUGAUGGCCAGGCUGUCUCCACCCGAGACUCAGUGAAAUUGAACUCGCUGUGAAGAUGCAGUGUACCCGCGGCAAGACGGAAAGACCCCGUGAACCUUUACUAUAGCUUGACACUGAACAUUGAGCCUUGAUGUGUAGGAUAGGUGGGAGGCUUUGAAGCGUGGACGCCAGUCUGCGUGGAGCCAACCUUGAAAUACCACCCUUUAAUGUUUGAUGUUCUAACGUUGGCCCCUUACCGGGGUUGCGGACAGUGUCUGGUGGGUAGUUUGACUGGGGCGGUCUCCUCCCAAAGCGUAACGGAGGAGCACGAAGGUUAGCUAAUCCUGGUCGGACAUCAGGAGGUUAGUGCAAUGGCAUAAGCUAGCUUGACUGCGAGCGUGACGGCGCGAGCAGGUGCGAAAGCAGGUCAUAGUGAUCCGGUGGUUCUGAAUGGAAGGGCCAUCGCUCAACGGAUAAAAGGUACUCCGGGGAUAACAGGCUGAUACCGCCCAAGAGUUCAUAUCGACGGCGGUGUUUGGCACCUCGAUGUCGGCUCAUCACAUCCUGGGGCUGAAGUAGGUCCCAAGGGUAUGGCUGUUCGCCAUUUAAAGUGGUACGCGAGCUGGGUUUAGAACGUCGUGAGACAGUUCGGUCCCUAUCUGCCGUGGGCGCUGGAGAAUUGAGGGGGGCUGCUCCUAGUACGAGAGGACCGGAGUGGACGCAUCACUGGUGUUCGGGUUGUCAUGCCAAUGGCACUGCCCGGUAGCUAAAUGCGGAAGAGAUAAGUGCUGAAAGCAUCUAAGCACGAAACUUGCCCCGAGAUGAGUUCUCCCUGAGACUUUAAGUCUCCUGAAGGAACGUUAAAGACGAUGACGUUGAUAGGCCGGGUGUGUAAGCGCAGCGAUGCGUUGAGCUAACCGGUACUAAUGAACCGUGAGGCUUAACCUU